This is a long non-coding RNA of Oncorhynchus masou masou (cherry salmon), 5203 nucleotides long. RefSeq lists it as uncharacterized. NCBI's taxonomy places the organism in Eukaryota, Metazoa, Chordata, Actinopteri, Salmoniformes, Salmonidae. The record is from RefSeq and is a predicted model, not a curated record. The transcript has 3 exons.
UCUCGCAUCAGUGCUGUUUGAUGAGGUCUGCUGGUGGUUGGCAAAAUGGACUGAGGAACCAUUAUGAAUGCUGUCGUCUGCAUAGAGGUGGAUCAGAGAAUCACCAGCAGCAAGAGCGACAUCAUUGAUGUAUACAGAGAAGAGAGUCGGCCCAAGAAAGGAACCCUGUUGCACCCCCAUAAAGACUGACAGUGGUCCGGACAACAGACCCUCCGAUUUGACACACUGAACUCUAUCAGAGAAGUAGUUGGUGAACCAGGCGAGGCAAACAUUUGAGAAAUGUUGAUAUAGAUUUUGAAAUUGAUAGAACCCUCACAAAAACACAUGGAACAACUGCGAAAAGAAAUGGCUGAGGAUAUAUUAAACAAUGUCUGGUAUGUAAUGACAUUUAAUUCAAAGUAAAUGUAAAUGCUUUAUUUUAAUGUAGUUGUGUAGGACAGCCAUAUGUUCAUGAUUUCAGAGUUCAAGGCCAACAACUGCUUCAUGUGUGACACUGAUAAAGAACCUGGAUGUGGCCCAAAGACUGACUGGAUUGAAUGGUAUGCAUGACUACGGUGGUUCCAUGUGCUGUGUCUAGGAAUGAAGACAAGAGUUCAGAGUGAAGAACACAAACUGGAAGGGAUGUCUUUGUUGUUGAAAAUGUAUGCUAUACCCCAUCCACACUGAAGAGGCUCGGAAAUGUACAUCAACCAGGGAUAAAGAGAACACUGAAAUGUUUUGUACUUAUUUGAAGUAAAGCGUCUGACAUAUUGUAGACUUUUAAUCUUUUCCAACUUCUGUUUAAUUUGUCAAUAUCCCAUUUUUCUUCAUUGAUUUUCUGGCCACCAUUACUGCGGUUACAUGUUCAGUAUUUGUAUUGACCAGCAAACCCACAUUACUCUCCAUCCCGGCUUUGGACAAUUAAUAAAACAUGACUCUCGUACUUUGCCCUUUAUGGUUGAUAUUAACGAUGAGAGAGAUAAUAUCUCCUUUCUCCUAUUGUGUACCACUGUUAAAUAGUGUAAAAAAAAAAAGUUAAAAAAGAGAAAUUAUGUACUUAGAACUACCAAUUAUUAUAGAUAAAUAUUAAAGAAAAGGGUUAACACAACACUGGACUGAACCCCCUAAAUUGUCAAAGUAAUAUUAAUGUACAACAAUAUAGAAGAUACAUGACUAGAGGUUAUGCAAUAUGGGUGUAUAUCCACUGCAUGCUUCUUAGGUGUGUAAUUGACAUGCCAAAGGAGCUAUUGAAAUGUACAUUUUUCAUAGUUUUACGUUACACUGCGUGAUUUUACAGUACACAAACAAGAGUGUGCAAUAUAUAAGGCUAGUCUGAACAUACUGAAGUUUGAGUCCAGCAGGUCACAUGACCAAUGAGCUAUUGAAAUUCAAAUGUAAAAAAAAAAGUUUACUUUGUUUACACUCCAUAACUAAUUCAACUAGGAAUACAAAAUGCAGCUCACAUUUCCACAUGUUCAUUAGCCUUCGAAAGUGAAUUAAUGUCCAAAUCGUGGCUUAUUUGGAGUCUGUGGCGCAAGCGGUUUGAAAGCGUGAAUAUCCAACUUGAAACUGUCUCUCAGUUUGCAGUGAGGGGUUUAAGCAGGUGUGUAGUGCUAUGGCAAAAGCAUGCACCCCUUUGGUCCCCAAGACCUGGAUUAACAAACACAGAUUGGAUUCUAUCUUUGGGUGGUCUAUUUCUAUGAGAUAGUAGCCUAGAGUCUACUACAGACACAGUAAAGAAAGGUUGAGAUGCCACCAAGAUAUACAAGGGCUCUAAAAUACAUCGAUACUAGGGUGGAAACCAAAUAUGGGGGCACCAUGUUGGUCAGAAAGAGAUAUACAAACACAAAAAAAAAAUCCAAAACACUGUUCUAAUCACAAUGGAGAGAAUUAUUAAUACGCUGAUAUGUAAAUUGUAAUGCUUGCAUGACCUCAGGAUACCAACAGAUUCAGUAAUUGUGAAGAACUUUGAUCUCAGUUCCAAACAAAAAGGAUGCACCCAAAGAUUAGUAUACCCUUUAAUCUGUGGCACCCCUCUGCAAUACAGGUAGUGUUUUUCAUGUUCAUAAGAUGGCAGCAUUGGGCUAGCUAGGCUUAAGCUUUUGAAGCAUUAAUAAUACAUUCAACUGGAUGGUGGAUCAGAAAACUUGGUGAUAAUACACAAUAACCAAUGCGUGCACAAUGUUCAGAAGUGGACACAUAGUGGAUACACCUCGUAGUGAUUAUAAUUGGCACCCAAGGGUCAUAACAGUGAUGAAUAUGAUUGAGGUAGUCAGUGCCACAACAACCAACCACAGGAUCAAGCAACUUCUCUAAAAAUUCAUACUUCUUCAAUUUCAAGAAUGUAAUGUUCCUUUUCCAUUUAAACCUGCUCAUGUUGCAAUUUCUGACCACAUUAUUCUCUGGUAUUUCAAUGACCUUGUCUUGUGCUAUGGUAACCAUGUUUACAAAUGCCAUUGCAACCCCUUGGAAGAACACCAGUGUUGGUUUAAAAAAAUAAAAAAUAAUUUAAAGCACAACUGACCACUGAGUUAAUAGUUUUGGAGCGAUGGCUGCUGUAAACAUAUUAGUUACUGUGAUACAAGCCACCUUGAAUUUGGCUAUAAAUAACAAUUUACAUUAGCUAAUUAGUGGGGAGAACAAGUACUUGAUAACCUGCAAAAUCGGCAGUGUUUCCUACUUACAAAGCAUGUAGAGGUCUGUAAUUUUUAUCAUAGGUACACUUUAACGGUGAGAGACGGAAUCUAAAACAAAAAUCCAGAAGAAAAAAAAUCAUACAAUGUGAUUUAAGUAAUUAAUUUGCAUUUUAUUGCAUGGCGUAAGUAUUUGAUCACCUACCAACCAGUAAGAAUUCCAGCUCUCACAGACCCGUUAGUUUUUCCUUUAAGAAGCCCUCCUGUUCUCCACUCAUUACCUGUAUUAACUGCACCUGUUUGAACUCGUUACCUGUAUAAAAGACACCUGUUCACACACUCAAUCAAACAGACUCCAACCUCUCCACAAUGGCCAAGAUCAGAGAGCUGUGUAAGGACAUCAGGGAUACAAUUGUAGACCUGCACAAGGCUGGGAUGGGCUACAGGACAAUAGGCAAGCAGGUUGGUGAGAAGGCAACAACUGUUGGCGCAAUUAUUAGAAAAUGGAAGAAGUUCAAGAUGACGGUCAAUCACCCUCGGUCUGGGGCUCCAUGCAAGAUCUCACCUCAUGGGGCAUCAAUGAUCAUGAGGAAGGUGAGGGAUCAGCCCAGAACUACACGACAGGACCUGGUCAAUGACCUGAAGAGAGCUGGGACCACAGUCUCAAAGAAAACCAUUAGUAACACACUACGCCGUCAAUGAUUAAAAUCCUGCAGCGCACGCAAGGUCCCCCUGCUCAAGCCAGCACAUGUCCAGGUCCACCUGAAGUUUGCCAAUGACCAUCUGGAUGAUCCAGAGGAGGAAUGGGAGAAGGUGAUGGACAAAAAGAGCUUUCUGGUCUAAACUCCACCUGCCGUGUUUGGGGGAAGAAGGAUGAGUACAACACCAUCCCAACCGUGAAGCAUGGAGGUGGAAACAUCAUUCUUUGGGGAUGCUUUUCUUCAAAGGGGACAGGAUGACUGCACCGUAUUGAGGGGGGGGGGAUGGAUGGGGCCAUGCAUCGCGAGAUCUUGGCCAACAAUCUCCUUCCCUCAGUAAGAGCAUUGAAGAUGGGUCGUGGCUGGGUCUUAAUAAUUACUAAUAUCAUACAAUGUGAUUUUCUGGAUUUUUGUUUUAGAUUCCGUCUUUCACAGUUGACCUGUGUGUACCUAUGAUAAAAAUUAGACCUCUACAUGCUUUGCAAGUCGGAAAACCUGCAAAAAUCGGCUGUGUAUCAAAUACUUGUUCUCCCCACUGUAUAUAUUGACAAUGUUUUAACCAUUUCUAAGUCUUAAGAAAAAUCUAUUUUGAGCAAAGCAAGUUGUGGCUCCUUUUAGGUGAACACAUUCACUCAAAUGUUGUGUCAAAGCAUUACAGGCAUCUUCUCUCAAAUGCCCUGACUGGCUAUGAUAGGUACAUUUACAAUACAUGCCAUGCCUUCUGUUUAUGCAAUAGACCAUGGUUAGUGGGAAGGAAGAGGAAGCAUUUCAGAUUUCAAAAGAAUGACCAUCCUAAAAAAAUAAAGACUACGGCAUCCCUGUAAACAACUAACUUGCCAUGUCAAAGCAUGAGACAGGUUGCUACUCAGACUGUCCACUAUGACAAUAAACGCACAGUAAAUACUGUGGAGGUUUUUCCAUGGCCUUCUUAUGGAUACUGCAUGUGCCUUACACACACUAAAUGCAGCUCUGCUACCCUUGUUGAGCAAAUGACAUUCAAACCUGCCCUGAAAGACUUUUGCCAUUUUAGAAUGAUUGUGUUGUGCAUGCUGUAGUUGUAUUUACAUUAUCUAACCAGUCCAACCUGAUAUAAAUCUUAUGUCAGCAUCAAUCUGGUUUAGAACAGGUUUUGAAUUCCAACAGUAAGCUUUAGCCACUACGGAAAUUCCUUGAUGUCUCAACCUGCCAGGUAGGCUUCCUGGCAAGCCCACCUGUCAUUCAUAAUCAGAGUCAAACCAUUGGCUUAGCAGUGCCCUAUGAGAAACGGAAGCAGUGAAAACACAAUUUGUACAAAGUUGACAGUCUUGCAUUUGGUGCAGUUGUAACUCCACAGUGAGGCAGUUUUCCAGGACAUUAUGAGGAUAUAAUGCAAGGACCUUCUACACUACAUUGUAUCAUGAACAGAAAGUGGGUCUAACACAACCCUUCCCACAUCUCAGCUGUGAUACACACUGAGUAUACCAAACAUUAGGAACAUUUCCUAAUAUUGAGUAACAACCCCCAUGAAAAACCCAGUAGCGUUGCAGUUCUUGACCCAAACCAAUGCAUGCACCUGGGACCUACCUGGUUCAAAGGCACUUACAUAUUUUGUCUAGCCCAUUCACCCUCUGAAUAGCACACAUACACAAUCCAUCCUGCCCUGCCUAUCUAAGGUCUUCGAAAGCCAAGUCAACAAACAGGUCUCUGACCAUCUCGAAUCCCACCGUACCUUCUCCGCUGUGCAAUCUGGUUUCCGAGCCGGUCACGGGUGCACCUCAGCCACACUCAAGGUACUAAACGAUAUCAUAACCACCAUUGAUAAAAGACAGUACUGUGCAGCCGUCUUCAUCGACCUUGCCAAGGCUUUCGACUCUGUCAAUCACCAUAUUCUUAUCGGCAGACUCAGUAGCCUUG